Cucumis melo (muskmelon) is the source of this 1008-nucleotide long non-coding RNA. RefSeq lists it as uncharacterized. The transcript has 3 exons. The record is from RefSeq and is a predicted model, not a curated record. NCBI's taxonomy places the organism in Eukaryota, Viridiplantae, Streptophyta, Magnoliopsida, Cucurbitales, Cucurbitaceae.
UAACAGCUCGAGUCUUCAUGCCUCUAUUUGAGUGCCCAUCUCAGCGUUGUAGAACAAACAAAACGAAAGGAAACUUAAUUCUUUAACUUAGAGCAUCCAAAUUUCUGAAGUUUCAGGAGGUUUUUCAAUUACUUCUUCAAAGGCAUUCCUAGAAAAAUAUUUUCUUUUCUCUUUCGUAGUUUGAUUGAUAUUGGUCCUAAUGUAUGCCUGAGCAUUUGGUUUGCAGGCCAAACUUCAAGAGUUUGAAAUUUCAAUUUUUGUAUGGUCUUAAUUUCUGUCUCUUAUCAACAAAAUCUAAAAUUUUAAUUUCACACCUACUCAUUAACUUGCGCAGAGGCUGCAUUCUGUAAGUUUAGGAUGAUUUUCAUCAGCUCUUCACUGAUGGAACUAAAAAUUGAAAUUCCAAACUAAUUGGUCAGUGCAGAUUAGAGGAGAGACUUUCAUAUUUGUUUGAUUGGUGAUUCUGGAGUUGCAAAAAGUCAACUUCUUAAACACAUCAUCAAUGUUGCUCCCAGGGGAAUCUACACAAUUGGUAAAGGGAGUUGUUCGAAAGAUAUUGAUUGUUGUCCAGCCGACAAGGUGUGGAAUUUUGGCAUUUUUAGCACAUUUUGGAAAAUGAAUCAAAGGCUUCAUUUUCAGUGAAUCGAAGAGCCUGUCCAAGAAAAUGAACAUUGGUAUAGUGCUUAUGUGGCUUCGAGAGUCAUUGGUUUGCCUAAUCGACCUCAUUUGAUUUUCAUCGAUGGGCAUAUUGUAAGAGUGAAGCUGAAAUGCAAGGAAUGUGCGCAAGACAGUUGCAGGCAAGGGAAAAGGUAGAGACGUAUGAAGAAGAUGAAGACGAGCAUGAUGACACCUUAUGUAGGGCAUGCGGUGAGAACUAUGCUUCAGAUGAAUUUUGGAUUUGUUGUGAUAUCAAUGAGAAAUGGUUCCAUGGGAAAUUUGUUGUAUGAAGAAAUGCUUCAGUUUAUCAGUUUCCUUGUGUGUAUUGAGUUUUCUAAAACAGGGUAGUAG